AUGUUCUUAUGGAUUGUUGGAGGCCCUCAAUCAUUUGCUCAAGCUGAGAACCAUUUUGUACGAUCACUUUGGACAGUUCAUACAAAGUUUAAGGAAGUUUUGUUAUGUUUGCGCAAGUUAGCGAAAGAUAACAUCAAACCUAGAGAUCCUACUUUUAGGCAUGAGCAUGAAAAGAUUAAGGAAGAGCGUUUCUGGCCUCAUUUCAAAGGCGCUAUUGGUGCCAUAGAUGGAUCACAUGUGCCCGUUUCAGUGCCUGCAGAUGAUGCGGUUAACCAUAGAUGUCGACAUGGUUUCACAUCUCAGAAUGUGCUUGCAGUAUGUGACUUUGACAUGAGGUUUACGUUUGUGGUUGCGGGUUGGCCGGGCUGUGCACAUGAUACAAGGGUCUUGAAUCAUGCAUUAGCACACUUCCCUUCAUUUCCUAUACCACCCAAAGGGAAAUACUAUCUUGUCGACUCUGGGUAUCCAAACUGA
This 474-nucleotide ribosomal RNA is filed under the name Triticum aestivum (bread wheat). Its description in RNAcentral is "partial small subunit ribosomal RNA". Lineage: Eukaryota; Viridiplantae; Streptophyta; Magnoliopsida; Poales; Poaceae. The record is from RNAcentral.